RNAcentral lists this ribosomal RNA (497 nucleotides) under uncultured bacterium. RNAcentral describes it as "partial 16S ribosomal RNA". It matches the Rfam family "Bacterial small subunit ribosomal RNA", at positions 28 to 507 of the family's 1533-position model. The record is from RNAcentral.
GAUGAACGCUGGCGGCGUGCCUAAUACAUGCGAGUCGAGCGAACAGAUGAGGAGCUUGCUCCUCUGACGUUAGCGGCGGACGGGUGAGUAACACGUGGAUAACCUACCUAUAAGUCUGGGAUAACUUCGGGAAACCGGAGCUAAUACCGGAUAAUAUAUUGAACCGCAUGGUUCAAUAGUGAAAGACGGUUUUGCUGUCACUUAUAGAUGGAUCCGCGCCGCAUUAGCUAGUUGGUAAGGUAACGGCUUACCAAGGCGACGAUGCGUAGCCGACCUGAGAGGGUGAUCGGCCACACUGGAACUGAGACACGGUCCAGACUCCUACGGGAGGCAGCAGUAGGGAAUCUUCCGCAAUGGGCGAAAGCCUGACGGAGCAACGCCGCGUGAGUGAUGAAGGUCUUCGGAUCGUAAAACUCUGUUAUUAGGGAAGAACAAAUGUGUAAGUAACUAUGCACGUCUUGACGGUACCUAAUCAGAAAGCCACGGCUAACUACGUG